UUGAAAGCUUGCGGCUGGUACGUCUGCUCGGCGCAGAAAUGGAAAUCGGGAGACGAAACCACAGAAAGGCAUUUUAAGUUAAUGAAUGUACUUCUGGUUUAAAACUGUGAAAAUGACCUUAAUAUACUGACAUUGACGUAACGUUUAAGUUCAUUAUGGCGUGUUUUUGACCCGAAUCGGUCACGUCCUACUCCUAGCAUAGCAUUUGUUCGGCGCUGACGUCACUCGUUGUUAUUGAAGUACAGUAUUUUGGAAAGGGAAAAGUUCCUGAGGAUGAGGGUCCGAUAACAGAGUGAUGAUUAUUGUUAUGAUGGUUUACACCGUCACGUUCCGAAAUAUUUAAUUAGCGUCUGAGGCUAAUUAAAUAUUUCGAACGUACCGGAGGGCACAUGCUCUCAGGUGCUCUUCAUUUGCGAAUGUAUUAGCUCCCACGUUCGGAGGAGUAGAAUAACCAAAUGGUUCUGGCAAGCACAGUAUUUUCAUGUUGAGAUAAGAUUUUCAAAAACUGAAGGAGAUCAGAUAGCACGUUGAAACGCAGAUCAGGAUGGCGCGCGGUCCAGGGUAAGAGAAGUAAGCAAAAAAGCAAACAGGAAAUCUAGCUGGGACCCAACAUGGACAAAAAUGGCAAAGUUCAAGCCGUGGCUGUACUACAAAAAUCAAGAAUAUGGACCAGUUCAGCAUGAUGACAUCACAGACUGAUGAAUGGGGAGUGCUGCUGACGGCAACCGUCGGCCAUUGCGUUGACAGUGCCCAUCUCAACAGCGAACUGUGAGAUUUUUCUUCAAUGAAAUGAGUGAAGACAGAUGUGAGGAACAGGGGGACCAUCUUGUAGCAUACCUCACAUUGACUAUAAAUGGACCACCUAUUGCCGACCCCCCCCUUUUUUUUUUUCUUUUUCUUUUUUUUUUUUUUUUUUUUUUAAAGUCCAGGAAAAUCAAGUGUUCCCAGGCAUGAUGCAAACUUUGCAAAUAGAUCUUUGUUAUGGUUCU
Long non-coding RNA from Corythoichthys intestinalis (scribbled pipefish), 989 nucleotides. RefSeq lists it as uncharacterized. Lineage: Eukaryota; Metazoa; Chordata; Actinopteri; Syngnathiformes; Syngnathidae. The transcript is spliced from 3 exons. The record is from RefSeq and is a predicted model, not a curated record.